This 506-nucleotide ribosomal RNA is filed under the name uncultured bacterium. RNAcentral's name for it is "partial 16S ribosomal RNA". It matches the Rfam family "Bacterial small subunit ribosomal RNA", at positions 29 to 523 of the family's 1533-position model. The record is from RNAcentral.
AGUGAACGCUGGCGGUAGGCCUAACACAUGCAAGUCGAACGGCAGCACAGAGGAGCUUGCUCCUUGGGUGGCGAGUGGCGGACGGGUGAGGAAUACAUCGGAAUCUACUCUGUCGUGGGGGAUAACGUAGGGAAACUUACGCUAAUACCGCAUACGACCUACGGGUGAAAGCAGGGGACCUUCGGGCCUUGCGCGAUUGAAUGAGCCGAUGUCGGAUUAGCUAGUUGGCAGGGUAAAGGCCCACCAAGGCGACGAUCCGUAGCUGGUCUGAGAGGAUGAUCAGGCACACUGGAACUGAGACACGGUCCAGACUCCUACGGGAGGCAGCAGUGGGGAAUAUUGGACAAUGGGCGCAAGCCUGAUCCAGCCAUACCGCGUGGGUGAAGAAGGCCUUCGGGUUGUAAAGCCCUUUUGUUGGGAAAGAAAUCCAGCUGGCUAAUACCCGGUUGGGAUGACGGUACCGGAAGAAUAAGGACCGGCUAACUACGUGCCAGCCGCCGCCGUAA